This is a long non-coding RNA of Mirounga angustirostris (Northern elephant seal), 3797 nucleotides long. RefSeq lists it as uncharacterized. Lineage: Eukaryota; Metazoa; Chordata; Mammalia; Carnivora; Phocidae. The transcript has 4 exons. The record is from RefSeq and is a predicted model, not a curated record.
AGAUUUGGUGUCUGGUGGGAGAGGCUGCUUCCUGGCUCAUCCGUGGCUGCCUUCUCAAUAUGCCUUCACAUGGUGGAAGGGACAAGGGAGUUUUCGGGUGCCUGUUUUUAUAAGGGUACUAAUCCUAUUCAUGAGUGCUCCACCUCCAUGACCUAAUCACCUCUCAAAGGCCCCAUCUCCUACAUCACACUGGGAGUUACGAUUUGACAUAUGAAUUUGCAGGGGACACAUUCAGUCUACAGUCCAGCCUCUGGAAGAAUCACUGAUGGACAGAUGGGGAGAGAGGCGAGUGAAUGCACGUGCUGGGUUUGGAAGCCGAGGGUGUGGGAGGCAGCAGCCGAGGCACCUGGCAGCUCAGCCCCUGCGGGUGAGGAAGGCAAAGCCCGGAGGCAAGAAGCCGGCCACAUGGCAUGCUGACUUGGCCCUUCUGCUCCUCUGGCCCUUCCUCCUUCCUCCUGGCAACACAGCCUGAGCCCCCACUUGGACAAACAUCUUGCGGCCAUUUCCGCCUCGCCUGCCCGGAGCCCCAGCCUGGCCUGAACAAACACUCGGGACCUGUGCUUCCGGCUUCAGCUCUGGGAAAAGCCCAACCAGGGGCUGUUGAGGUCAACCCUGGAGAGAAGUGGGAAGGAGGAGGCACCCAGCCCCUGCACGGAGGUCUGUCCGGCCUGCCCUGGGGGCCCCCCCUGCCUCUUCUGGAGCCAUCAGAACAGUGCUUGGGUUGCAGGGUCCCCAUCUGUCAAACGGGCCUAAGUACACCCACCUCAGAGGGCUCUAGGGGAUGGGAAGCACUGAGCCCAGCCCUGGGGAGGGUGGCGCUGCCCACGGGGCCAUGAGCGGGUAAGGUUCUAGGGGAUCCCCCGGGGCCGUAGGGCAGGGGAGGGGGGCAGAUUACACCUUCCCUCCUGUGGCCUCCCCAUUCUUGUUCCCAUUUUCUGAAAUGCCCCAUGGUGUGCACCUCUAGGCCUGUUCUGUCCUUUCAGAGCCUCCUGGAGUCCCUGUCUGAGACUGGGAACCAGGCUGGGGUUGGGGCCGGGGUGGACAUUCUCGGCAACGUAAAAUAUAUGACAAUGGUUGGCUGUGAGAAGUGAGCUCCCCUUCCCCAGGAGCAUGAGCAGAGGCAGCAGGAUGUGUGGGAGGCGGCCUUGCCACGAUUCCUCCUCAACUGCUUCUAGAGCGCCGUGGACUGUGGCGCGAAGUGGACAAGCUAGCAGGUUCUGGGAUCAGAAAGACCCAGUUUCUCCUCAUCUGAGAGCUGUGGGAUUAGAUUCCUACCUCGCCUUCCGGUCUUUGGAGGAGCCACCAGGAGAGGAUGGGUGUGGGCGGAGGAGGUGCAGCUGUGCUUUUGGCCUGUGAUUCCCUGUAAAAAUCCACUGGAAUCCACAUCCCCCUGCUUGUGGCUUUUGCCCCACGUUUAUAUUUAACACAAAUAAGAUACAUUCUUUGAGGAGACUUAGAAAAUUCAGACAUGAAAGUCUUCAACCCCCACCCCCUCCGCCCCUAGCCAGGCAUUGGAUCCAUCCUGCCUGACUCUGCCUCUCCUUGACCCCAUGACCUGGGGGUGCACAGCCUCAGGGGCUGGGCCUCAGGUCGCCCAUCAGGAGCUCUACUGCUUGUCCAAACCCAUGUCCUGGGGCUGGAGCCCAGGCUAUGGAAGCCCUCAGUUCCUUUUCCAGCAGGAGAUGCCCAAUUCUGCCCACGGGCGCUGACAGGGAAGUGAGAACGCAGAGGCAGGGAUGGGGGUGACACGGGUCCACUGAGGAAGUGAAAGUGUCCCUGAAUCCUCCCAUCUCUGACAAGGCUGCCCACAGAGGGCCAGUGCCAGUGCCCUUGUCUGGAGCGUCCCAGAGUGGUGCCCCCAGCCAAAACCAUCCUUGGGGUCCCCAGCUAUAACUCAGGGAGGAAGGGGUCCCCUGGCCCCCUGCCCAGGGAGCCCCAGCGCUGGAGGACCUUCCCAGCCUCACACCCCUGACUUUGACGCCGGCCUGGGCAGCCAAACCUUUUUUUUUUUUUUUUUUUUUUAAGAUUUUAUUUAUUUAUUUGACAGAGAGAGAGACAGCGAGAGCAGGAACACAAGCAGGGGGAGUGGGAGAGGGAGAAGCAGGCCUCCUGCCAAGCAGGGAGCCCGAUGCGGGACUCGACCCCAGGACCCUGGGAUCAUGACCUGAGCCGAAGGCAGACGCUUAACGACUGAGCCACCCAGGCGCCCCGGGCAGCCAAACCUCUUGAGUGAGGACCAGGAAAUUGAGGCCAGGGGAAGGAGCACCCGAUUGGCUCCGUUUUUAGGCAGAGAUGGAGCCAGGCCUAGAACCCUGGCCUGCUCCAGCUUGGGCCUCAGACAGCUGCCCCAGAAUUUCUUGAUGGCUGCCUCCAGACCGGUUCUGGUGUCUCAAAUUCCUUCUACCCCCUGUAACUCCAUGCAAAUCUCCGCGGCCACAUAGACCUGGGUUCAGAUCUCAUGCUGAUGUGGUCCUGGCAAGCCCCUGCCUCUAUAAAAUGGGGCCAGUGAGACCUUGUGCUCAGACGGGGAGUAAGUGCAAGAAGUUCACACCCACCCUGGAGGGACCCAGAAUGGGUGUCAGUUGGGUUGGAGGGUUGGGACUCGUAGCCACUCCUGCCACACCAGUCCACCCCAGGUGUGAUGGGACAAAGGACAGGGGAGCUGCAUCAGCAAUGACCUCAUCCACUUCCGCUGGGGCCCCACAGGGCCCUGUUCUGCUGGGGAGAGGGUCUCCCCUCCUAUCCUCUUCCUCUGGGCUCCUUCCUGCUUCCCUAGGUGCGGCCGGCCCUUCCGUCCAGGCGCUCAUCAAUCGCACCCAAAGUACCCAGUGUCCGGCAGGCCUUCUCAGGCCCUGACUCACUUCCUGUUUCCCGGAGCUGGAAAUCAGUCUCCCUCCCCAGGCAGCAGCUCCAAGUCCCCACCAGCGUGUGCCCCCACCCAGGCCUGGGCAUCCACCACUCAUCAUCCACGUCUGGGUUCUGCUGGACGUGAAACCAGCCCAAAGAUGCUCCCGUUGGUCAUUUAGGGAUGUAGCAGCACCCACUUGGAGGGUCUGGCCAUGGGGCAGCAGCAGGGGACAGGACAAAUGAGGACGUGCCCUUGAGACGUCUGCUAACGUUCAAUAAUCCUGUCACUCGUGUGCCAUGAGCUCUGCGCAGUGUCCAACCACCCUCAAGCUGAGUGGGGAGGCAGGAGGGGAACCAACCUGUGGCGGGACCAGCAGAAGCAUGUGUGGGCUUGGAGUGAGGCCGGACGGCCACACAGAGACUGUGGACAAGGAAAGGGGGACGGGACUUUACCGCAAGAGCUUUCGCAGAAUUUCAAGUUAGAGGAAAACAACACGAACAGAUUUAUAAUUUGAAAACAUCCCUCGGGCUGCUGUGUGGGGAAGUGAUUUGGAGAGAGGAAGAGGAAGGAGUGGGAGGAGGCAUCCAGGCAGGAGGAGGUGGGGCUUGGAUGGAUGCAGUAGUCUUGGGGGUGGAGGAGACCUGAACUGAUGGUGGGUGAUUAGCUGGUGACCUCUGGAGGUGUGUGAGGAAGGGACAGAGCACUCAGCAUCUCCUAGGCUCCCCGUUGUGUGCACGGCAGUGGGGGCCUGGGGUUGGGUCCGGCCUGUGCCACUCCCGUGCUCCAGGACUUUGGACGAGUCACUUAACUUUGCCAUGCCUCAUCUCCCCCUUCUGUAAAAUGAGUAGAAGAAAGAAUGAAAGUGCCUUCCUCUAAGGUGGUAAAUACAGUCAUCCCUGUGAUGCUCUUGGAACAGUGUCUGCUCCUGGGGGAGCCUCAAUAAACAUUA